This 230-nucleotide ribosomal RNA is filed under the name uncultured bacterium. RNAcentral's name for it is "partial 16S ribosomal RNA". It matches the Rfam family "Bacterial small subunit ribosomal RNA", at positions 28 to 245 of the family's 1533-position model. The record is from RNAcentral.
GACGAACGCUGGCGGCGUGCUUAACACAUGCAAGUCGAGGGCACUUUGGGGGCAACUCUGAAGUGACCGGCGAACGGGUGCGUAACACGUGAGCGACCUUGCCUAGUGGUGGGGGAUAGCCGGCCCAACGGCCGGGUAAUACCGCAUAUGGUGCUUUCUUCGCAUGGAGAGAGUAGCAAAGCUUGGCAGCAAUGCCUGGCGCCACGAGGGGGGCGUCGCGGCCUAUCAGC